CUGCUCAGGACGAACGCUGGCGGCGUGCCUAAUACAUGCAAGUCGAGCGGACAGAUGGGAGCUUGCUCCCUGAUGUUAGCGGCGGACGGGUGAGUAACACGUGGGUAACCUGCCUGUAAGACUGGGAUAACUCCGGGAAACCGGGGCUAAUACCGGAUGGUUGUUUGAACCGCAUGGUUCAAACAUAAAAGGUGGCUUCGGCUACCACUUACAGAUGGACCCGCGGCGCAUUAGCUAGUUGGUGAGGUAACGGCUCACCAAGGCAACGAUGCGUAGCCGACCUGAGAGGGUGAUCGGCCACACUGGGACUGAGACACGGCCCAGACUCCUACGGGAGGCAGCAGUAGGGAAUCUUCCGCAAUGGACGAAAGUCUGACGGAGCAACGCCGCGUGAGUGAUGAAGGUUUUCGGAUCGUAAAGCUCUGUUGUUAGGGAAGAACAAGUACCGUUCGAAUAGGGCGGUACCUUGACGGUACCUAACCAGAAAGCCACGGCUAACUACGUGCCAGCAGCCGCGGUAAUACGUAGGUGGCAAGCGUUGUCCGGAAUUAUUGGGCGUAAGGGCUCGCAGGCGGUUUCUUAAGUCUGAUGUGAAAGCCCCCGGCUCAACCGGGGAGGGUCAUUGGAAACUGGGGAACUUGAGUGCAGAAGAGGAGAGUGGAAUUCCACGUGUAGCGGUGAAAUGCGUAGAGAUGUGGAGGAACACCAGUGGCGAAGGCGACUCUCUGGUCUGUAACUGACGCUGAGGAGCGAAAGCGUGGGGAGCGAACAGGAUUAGAUACCCUGGUAGUCCACGCCGUAAACGAUGAGUGCUAAGUGUUAGGGGGUUUCCGCCCCUUAGUGCUGCAGCUAACGCAUUAAGCACUCCGCCUGGGGAGUACGGUCGCAAGACUGAAACUCAAAGGAAUUGACGGGGGCCCGCACAAGCGGUGGAGCAUGUGGUUUAAUUCGAAGCAACGCGAAGAACCUUACCAGGUCUUGACAUCCUCUGACAAUCCUAGAGAUAGGACGUCCCCUUCGGGGGCAGAGUGACAGGUGGUGCAUGGUUGUCGUCAGCUCGUGUCGUGAGAUGUUGGGUUAAGUCCCGCAACGAGCGCAACCCUUGAUCUUAGUUGCCAGCAUUCAGUUGGGCACUCUAAGGUGACUGCCGGUGACAAACCGGAGGAAGGUGGGGAUGACGUCAAAUCAUCAUGCCCCUUAUGACCUGGGCUACACACGUGCUACAAUGGACAGAACAAAGGGCAGCGAAACCGCGAGGUUAAGCCAAUCCCACAAAUCUGUUCUCAGUUCGGAUCGCAGUCUGCAACUCGACUGCGUGAAGCUGGAAUCGCUAGUAAUCGCGGAUCAGCAUGCCGCGGUUGAAUACGUUCCCGGGCCUUGUACACACCGCCCGUCACACCACGAGAGUUUGUAACACCCGAAGUCGGUGAGGUAACCUUUUAGGAGCCAGCCGCCGAAGGUGGGACAGAUGAUUGGG
RNAcentral lists this ribosomal RNA (1477 nucleotides) under Bacillus subtilis. RNAcentral describes it as "bacterial SSU rRNA". It matches the Rfam family "Bacterial small subunit ribosomal RNA". Lineage: Bacteria; Bacillati; Bacillota; Bacilli; Caryophanales; Bacillaceae. The record is from RNAcentral.